AAAAAAAGCAUAAUACAAAUAGGAAUUUGCUAAACAGUCCUACUAAAAUAUAAAACUUUCUAAACAUUAUUUAUUAAAUUUCUUACUAAAAAAACAUAAUAAUUGUUAAGAUGCCCUUUUCUCCAAGAUUGGUUUGGAUCACAACUAGGACUAAGACUAAACCUUUGGGGAGGAACUAAUACUGCAUCAAUUAGCAAACAGGCAACCAAAUGAAACUGGAAAAGUACGUCAUGCCCCAGAAACACUUCUGCACAGCCAUUGACAAACUUCCAUUUAGAUUUUCAAAAUGCCAUCACUUUCUCAUAGCAUUUAUAAAAAAAAAA
RNAcentral lists this unclassified non-coding RNA (323 nucleotides) under Hevea brasiliensis (rubber tree). Lineage: Eukaryota; Viridiplantae; Streptophyta; Magnoliopsida; Malpighiales; Euphorbiaceae. The record is from RNAcentral.